GUCGAUUAUUUCAUCUUUUCUUCAGAGUUC
RNAcentral lists this non-coding RNA (30 nucleotides) under Mus musculus (house mouse). Lineage: Eukaryota; Metazoa; Chordata; Mammalia; Rodentia; Muridae. The record is from RNAcentral.